AGCAACAGUGCUUAAAGCCCUAAAAACGACGUCUCCCCCUCCUAUGCUCCCCUUCGCCAGAUUCCGCCGACCCAACGCCUCCACGACACUUCGCACCCGAGCUCACGGCGACCCGGAGUUCGCCGAAGCCUUCCAGUCCUCUACCCCUUAGCUACAGCGUCACCGGAGGCCCCUCUCUUCGGAUUUGUUGCUUCGUGCGAGGACCGUUGGGCAGGAGGAGCAGAGCUGAAGACCGGAGACGCUGAGGGUCGAAUCAUCAGAACCCUAAGCUCGAUCUCAGCUGAGGGUGCAUUCCAGACGGUGGUCACGACGUUUCCUAGCCCUAACGCCAAGCUACCUCUGUUGGAUGCUCUUCGUCACUUGAGAGGAGGCUGUCGCGAAGUGGCUUGCUGUGAGGGGCUCGGCCACAAUUCCCAUUAGCUGUUCUAUGUUUGGGAACCAUUAGCAAGGAGCACUAUGCUUGAGCCGGAAAUAACAUCUCCGGACAGUCAAUCUGAGGUAAGGUUAAGGACUUUGAUCGAGGCGAGUGUCGUGACGAAGUUGACGUCAGAUUCAGCCUACAUUUAGAGGC
This is a long non-coding RNA of Zingiber officinale, 571 nucleotides long. RefSeq lists it as uncharacterized. The record is from RefSeq and is a predicted model, not a curated record. The transcript has 4 exons. Lineage: Eukaryota; Viridiplantae; Streptophyta; Magnoliopsida; Zingiberales; Zingiberaceae.